UACGUAGGUGGCAAGCGUUUGUCCGGAUUUACUGGGCGUAAAGAGCGCGCAGGCGGUCGUUCAAGUCGAGUGUGAAAGCCCCCCGGCUCAACUGGGGAGGGUCACUCGAUACUGAUCGACUCGAAGGCAGAAGAGGGAAGCGGAAUUCCCGGUGUAGUGGUGAAAUGCGUAGAUAUCGGGAGGAACACCAGUGGCGAAGGC
RNAcentral lists this ribosomal RNA (201 nucleotides) under uncultured bacterium. RNAcentral describes it as "partial 16S ribosomal RNA". It matches the Rfam family "Bacterial small subunit ribosomal RNA", at positions 524 to 722 of the family's 1533-position model. The record is from RNAcentral.